Molecule: long non-coding RNA, 488 nt
Filed under: Serinus canaria (Common canary)
Lineage: Eukaryota; Metazoa; Chordata; Aves; Passeriformes; Fringillidae
Description: lncRNA (ENSSCAG00000008960.1)
Source: RNAcentral
GCUGUUGCUGCCCCUCCACCAGUGAGCAGAGAGGUCCCUGAAAUCCAAAUGUCCCCUUCCUGCCCCUUGCAUGGGGAUUUCCCUGCUCAUCCUUGUCUUCAGUGCACACAGGGCUGAAAGCAUUCUUAGGGGCUCAAAAGACAUGGAAUUAAGAGGAUUUUCCCCCCAGUUUGUGGGGUUGGCAAGGGACCUGUUUUCAGCAGAGAACAGGCUUCUUUUGCCCUGCCCUGGUCCCUGUCCCUCUCCUUGUCCCCUCUGGGAGUUGCUGCUGAUCCAAGUGGACUUGGCCUCAAGACUCAACCUUGCCCAGCUCUCAGACCUUCUUGUGCAAUCCAUGUCCCAUCGCAGACACGUCUGGGAGAAAUGCGGAGAUUUCCUGAGAGCGCUGCCAUGGAAAUUCCUGAGAUUUCUGCUGUGGAUGGACACGUAGGGAAGGAGGAGGCAGCCAUUUAGGAGGUGCAUUUUCCACAGAAAUAAAUCCUUUCUGC